RNAcentral lists this ribosomal RNA (421 nucleotides) under uncultured bacterium. Its description in RNAcentral is "bacterial SSU rRNA". It matches the Rfam family "Bacterial small subunit ribosomal RNA", at positions 361 to 773 of the family's 1533-position model. The record is from RNAcentral.
AUUUUUCGCAAUGGGCGCAAGCCUGACGAAGCAACGCCGCGUGGAGGAUGAAGGCCUUCGGGUUGUAAACUCCUGUCGACCGGGACGAAAGCUAUCCGACCUAAUACGUCAGGUAGUUGACUGUACCGGUGGAGGAAGCCACGGCUAACUACGUGCCAGCAGCCGCGGUAAUACGUAGGUGGCAAGCGUUGUCCGGAUUUAUUGGGUUUAAAGGGUGCGUAGGCGGUUAAUUAAGUCAGUGGUGAAAUACUUCAGCUCAACUGGAGAGGUGCCAUUGAUACUGGUUGACUUGAGUACUGAUGAGGUAGGCGGAAUGGACGGUGUAGCGGUGAAAUGCUUAGAUAUCGUCCAGAACACCGAUAGCGAAGGCAGCUUACUAAGGAGUAACUGACGCUGAGGCACGAAAGUGUGGGGAUCAAAC